Molecule: long non-coding RNA, 1924 nt
Organism: Oncorhynchus tshawytscha (Chinook salmon)
Lineage: Eukaryota; Metazoa; Chordata; Actinopteri; Salmoniformes; Salmonidae
Source: Ensembl
GGGCGGUUUUCAUGGGGGACCUACAGGACCGUAACUCUCCAGGAACAGAGUUGGGGAGCCCUGCUCUAGACUGACACAGUUGGAAUGUGCACAUUGGUAUAGAAGUCACUCUGGCACUAUCACGAUCAUUCUGCACCACUCUCAACAGGGAGGCUCUUCCCCAUUCCUCCCAGGACCUCCACCUCAGAGUUCCAGGACUAAGAGGCAUGUGACUACUAAGGGCAGACGCAAAAGACCCUAUCGUCCUGGAGUCUUGGCUGCAUUUUCCGAACUAGCUGUUCCUCCUUACAGAUCCUCAGCAUAGAAGAAGACGGUACUGAGACACAGGACAGGCCAUGGAGAGAAACCCACCGCUGAAACUUGCUUUAUUUUGGGUCAUAAGUGAAAUAAGCAUGAAAAAAACAUGUGGUAUCGACAGUAAAACACUCAGUCCUGCUUUAUUUGAAGUGCAUCUUGAGAAAGCUUUUUAAAAACGGUCAUAUAGGCUUCAUAAGCACUGCAUAAAUAGGUCACAAAUAAUCUAUAACUCAUUUCAUGCUCGAUAAAAUAUUUCCAAAUGUGAUUUCUAAAUGUGAACAAAUAAAUGCAUGCAUUUAUAGAGCAAGAUAUAAGGUUAUAGAUGAUAUGUGAAGCAUCUAUGUGUGGCUUUAUGAAGCCUUCAUAAGAUGCAUUUCAAAUAAAGCGGGACUAAACUUUCAUUGACUUUUUUUUUUCAGUUUUCCAGCAAUGCAAUUAUAAAUAAAACUCUACCGCGCGAUGGACUGGACUAAGCCAUUCACUCAUUUCUGAAUGUUCUGUAAGACAAAUCACAUUGGGGUCACCAAACUUGUAGGUGAUGUUAUGUUCCUGGAAUCGACUCAGUAUUUUAAUGUUAUUCAAAGCCUUAAAUCACAGUUAAAACAAAGGAAACAAAAAUGUCAAGACACACAAUGUAUUUGCUUCAGUAGUCAAUCUUUUCACAAUUUCUCAAUAUUCUCUGUCAAAUGCUCAAUGUUACUGCAUAUUUUACCAUAGCAAACCUUUCAACAGUUGUAUAUGUCUGUUCUACUAAAUAAAAAUGUUAGAUCUAGGACAUGAACACAAUCCAGUUUAUUCCUACUGUUGUUAUUACGAGAGAUUUGACUCAAUCCAGAAGACAUUAAAACCCCAGAUGUUUUGAUUUUUGAAAAGGUCAUCAUGGACGUUUGCAAUGUCUCCACAAGUUCCAAUCAACAGUUGAAACUUAGAUGGAUUUAGGGAGGCAGUGAGAGAAUAUACACAUGUUGAAAACAGAGUUAGAAGACCAGCUGUCUGCAACUUUUAACAGAGUAGCUAGUAGUCAUUUAGCCACUGGUAGUCUGCACAGCGCGAUAUCAACCCAGAGCACAUCGGACAGCUUUUUCUCUACCACAUCUCCGGAUUCCUACCUCAAGAUCUGAGCCGAUGUAAUCUUCGAAGGUGGUUUCAACAGGCUCUUCCGUUGCGACAUCGCCAGAGGCCCAUCUGCUAUCCCCGGCCCGCUAGCUGUCUGAAUCGCCGUGUCUCCAGCUCGCCUAGCAUAGUAGCGACUACUGAAUCGGCACCCUGGCUCAUCUAUUGCUACUCUUUGGACCCUAUUAUCACUUGGCUACACAUGCCUCUCCCUAAUGUCAAUAUGCUUUGUCUAUUGCUGUUUUGGUUAGUGAUUAUUCUCUUAUUUCACUGUAGAGCCCCCAGCCCUGCCCAACAUGCCUUAGAUAGCCCUUUUGUUCAUACCCCCACACAUGCGGUGACCUCACCUGGCUUAACUGGUGCCUCUAGAGACAAAACCUCUCUCAUUGUCACUCAUCAUCCGACCAUACCUUUGUCUGUACAUUGCCUUGAAUCUAUUCUUCCAUGACCAGAAAUCUGCUCCUUUUACUCUCUGUUCAGAACGCACUAGAUGAUCAGUUCUAAUAGCCUUUAG